AAACAUUCCAAGCCCCAUCCUUUUGUGCAGGCAUCUCGCUGUCUGCGCUGGGCACGGAGCGGCGCGCGCGCGCCCGUCUUUCCCUCGGCGGCCCCCGCGGCUCGGACCCGGGCCGGCAGACAGGCCAUCCAUCAUCCGCCCUCCUCCCGCGGAGCGCCGCAGCCGCCGCGGCCAAUCCGGCGGCAGGUGGGGCCGCACCUGCGCGACAGCCCGCCGCUUCCCUCCGCUCCCUUCGCCGCGCCUCGCGUGCUAGCGGUGCCCUUGUGAGCCACUGCGUUCUCCAAGGCCAGAACGGGACAGUUGACGAUGGUCGUACUUCUCCAUGUUCUGAGACCAGUUUAAACAAAAACAAAAACCAGACAACAACCUUGCAAGGGAAAGAAUUCAGAGUAAAUAAACAGUCUUUUUCUGGGAAGUAAAAUAUUUCCCUAAGAUGGAGAAAUUGAGAUGAGAGCUCAUCCACAAGAUUACCCAUCAAUGAGCACCAAUAGCAACCAAAUCCACUAGAAGACUGGGAGCUUUUAAGUCAAGAAACUUACAUCAGUAUCAUCAUUCCAAGAAGCGGUAUCCAAGCUGUUUUAUCGAAAGUGCGCAUGGGAGAUAAGACUCUGAGAAUUUAUAGAAACAAACAUUAGAAGGCAGGAAUGUGGAGAGAAGAAAGCUACCUGACAAGGGAAUCUCAGGAUACAAGGAAAACACCAAGAGUCAUCUUCUGUGGAUUGCAGAGGGAACAUCUUCACUUGUUGGGAAGUUAGGCUCCAUUUUUUCUGAGGACCCAUUUAAGCUGUGGUUGGACAGUUCCGUAAAUUAUCAAGACAAGGUUUAGAGUAGGCCAGUCACUGAGUGGCUGCCCUCUUGAGGGGAAGCCUAAGCCUGAGAAUGGAGACAUUUACAACGUGGGGGAAGAACACCUGGCUUCCUUGCUCCAUCACAGAAACACAUCUCAACACAUCCAAGGUUAUGAGAAGUCCCCAUGAGUCCCUACAGCCACAAUAAAUUGAAUUCUGCCAAAAAUCUUAAUAAGCUUGGAAGAAGACCUUCAGCUCCUGAUGAGAACCCAGCCAGAAACAAGAUGAGAACCCAGAAACAAGAUUUUCAUCUUAUUUCAACCUGAGCAGAGAACCCAGAGGAGCCCUGGCCAGAUUUUUGGUCUACAGGAUUGAGAAGACACCUGCCUGAGGGUCUUAUAGCUAAUGGACUGCAGAAGACUUGAGUCAUCAUUCAAAUUCAGUAGCCAUCCUCUGAUGUCCAGUUGAAGAUUGGUGAUUCCAGAAUAGCUCGCAUUGCCCCAGUUGACUUGCCACACAGCUUCUUUCAGGACUUGAAAAUGUCCUAGCCACCCCCAUCUUACCUCCUACUUCCAAUGCCUUUUAAGAUAGAAAACAAAAAACAAAACAACAAAAAAACACCAGCCACCCUUGUGGGUUAGAUAAUCCUACAUCAAGGUGAAUUCUUGAUAACCAGUUCUGUUCUUCCUUAUGUCUUGUAAACAUGCUAAUUAGAAGGAGCUUGUGUUUGAAGAUCAAGGGAGGAAGAAUUCUGAAGCCAGGGCUAGCCUUAGGGGACAUAACUCCUUCCAGUCACUUCCUGAAUUUUUUGGUACCUGGCUUUUGAGAGUCCUCCAAAGUGAGAAUUUCAUGACAUGUAACCUCUCAACACCUGCAUUUUAAAAAAUUGUCCAAAAUACCGCAGAUACCACAGAAAAGUCCAAAACUUAAGUUUUUCCCUCCACUCAGAGCAUCUUAGCAACAUACUAACCAUAAGACUCUAAGCGCUCUUACCCUCAAUGCAAUUCUCACUGAAUAUCCUGUCAGGAGAACUCUACCUCUCUUCCAUGUUAUUAAGGUUAUUGUUCUUUGCAAGGUGUACACAACACAAAUAUAUUUCUUGGUGAAUGAACUCACUCUCAAAGACUGCUGUCCUUGGGGAUAUAGCCAACAUGCCAUAUCCACAACAUAGGUCUUCUUUACAGUCCUGUUGAAACAUGUAAGAUCAGCUACUAAGUCCCUGCAUCUCAGACAGGAACUUAAUAGAGUACAUUUAAAAAAAAAA
Molecule: long non-coding RNA, 2052 nt
Organism: Homo sapiens (human)
Lineage: Eukaryota; Metazoa; Chordata; Mammalia; Primates; Hominidae
Gene: LETR1
Product: lymphatic endothelial transcriptional regulator lncRNA 1
Source: Ensembl